Molecule: transfer RNA, 83 nt
Filed under: Candidatus Zixiibacteriota bacterium
Lineage: Bacteria; Pseudomonadati; Candidatus Zixiibacteriota
Description: candidate division Zixibacteria bacterium tRNA-Leu
Rfam family: tRNA
About the family: Transfer RNA (tRNA) molecules are approximately 80 nucleotides in length. Their secondary structure includes four short double-helical elements and three loops (D, anti-codon, and T loops).
Source: RNAcentral
GCGGAAGUGGUGGAACUGGUAGACACACUAUCUUGAGGGGGUAGCGCUUAACCGGCGUGCGGGUUCGAGUCCCGCCUUCCGCA